GUUUAUAUAAUUCAAUUAAGAAUAUUGCAUUGAAGCUGCAAAAGUGAUAGGUUUAUCUGUAAGCA
This 65-nucleotide transfer RNA is filed under the name Dotilla wichmanni. RNAcentral's name for it is "tRNA-Phe". The record is from RNAcentral. Lineage: Eukaryota; Metazoa; Arthropoda; Malacostraca; Decapoda; Dotillidae.